Molecule: ribosomal RNA, 468 nt
Filed under: uncultured bacterium
Lineage: Bacteria
Description: partial 16S ribosomal RNA
Rfam family: Bacterial small subunit ribosomal RNA
Source: RNAcentral
GACGAACGCUGGCGGCGUGCUUAACACAUGCAAGUCGAACGGAAAGGCCCUGCUUUUGUGGGGUGCUCGAGUGGCGAACGGGUGAGUAACACGUGAGUAACCUGCCCUUGACUUUGGGAUAACUUCAGGAAACUGGGGCUAAUACCGGAUAGGAGCUCCUGCUGCAUGGUGGGGGUUGGAAAGUUUCGGCGGUUGGGGAUGGACUCGCGGCUUAUCAGCUUGUUGGUGGGGUAGUGGCUUACCAAGGCUUUGACGGGUAGCCGGCCUGAGAGGGUGACCGGCCACAUUAGGACUGAGAUACGGCCCAGACUCCUACAGGAGGCAGCAGUGGGGAAUAUUGCACAAUGGGCGGAAGCCGGAUGCAGCAACGCCGCGUGCGGGAUGACGGCCUUCGGGGUGUAAACCGCUUUCGCCUGUGACGAAGCGUGAGUGACGGUAAUGGGUAAAGAAGCACCGGCUAACUACGUG